AGACAUGUGGAGUCCCAGCAGAGGCCAACCUGUGUCUCUUCAUCUCCGUGAGAAAGGUGCCCCCGAAGUGAAAGAGAUGGCCUGGUGGAAAGCCUGGGUAAGUGGGAGCUGGCAGGAGAUUUGGGUUCCUGCAUGGUGUUGGGUGCUGGUCACCAGGGAGUCCUGAGAAAUGUAAAGUCGCCCUUGGCUGGGAGUGGCUCAGUCUACAUUUGGCUGCCUCCUGGGCCAAGCAUGGAGGGUGGGAAGGGGCCGAGAAGAAACAGCCCCAGGCCUAGAGUGCCCACGGCAGGGAUGGGACCUGGGCCGGGAGACAGGCUGAUGAAGAAAUCUAGAAAUGCAAGGGGGAAGCUGAGGUUUGAGAAAAGUCCAGGGGAGGGACCCUUGCAGGGGUGGGGCCACUCAAAGGAGGGGGUAUCAUGGUUGAGCCUUGUGUGUAAAUGUGUAUGGGGUGCACACACGUGUGCAUUUGGGGAGAAUCAGGCAUACUGCUCCUGGCAGAGGGAACUGUGUGCAGAGGGUCAGAGGGCGGGGAGCUUGGCUUUGAGGGAAGCUGCUCAGCACAGCUCAAGGGUCCUGGUACCGGAGGAGAUGGACCUGGGGAAGCAGGCAGGGCCAGGUCCUGAAAGGCCUUGCCUGGCAGGCUGAGGAGUUAGGCUUUACCUUAAGAGAAGUGGGAAGGCACUGAAGGGCUUUGAGCAUGAGAGUAACCUGAACCUGCUGUUGGGGACCCAUCAAUGCCUUCACCUCAGGGAUCAAUGAUGUUCAUUUGUCAAGACUGGAGAGGGAAGAGGGGAAGCAGGAGGACCUGGCCUGCUAGAGCCUGGAGGAACCCGGGGCUCAGGGCAGCCCAUGCCCAGCAGAACUGAUGGGUUCUCGGGAGCUUUCUGUCUAUGGUUGAGCCUGAGGCCAUCGCUGUGCUAAGGAGUUGAAUAUCCAGAAGGGGACAGAGGUGACAUCUCCCGGCUGCCGGCUCUGCACACCCUUUUCCUUUCCUCCCAGGCAGCCUCAGGAUGUCAGGGCUGCACUUUCUGUUUUGCAGAUGAUGAAAUGAAGGCUCAGAGACACUGAGUGACUUGCUAGGGUCCAAUGGCCAGCAGGCUCCAGUCAGAGAGCAGUUGGGUCUCUCUGCCCAGCCCCAGGUUCUCUGUGAGCUUUUGUGGGAUACCCAGGCUUGUCCAGCUUCAGGGAGUCUCUGGAUCAUAGAUGUCGCAACCCAAGCAAGUGUCCUCAGGGUCAGACAUGCUAGGUUCUGGACAGGUGGGACAAAGAGGAAGCCAGGCUGAGGUGGGGCAGCUGUCCUGGCCCCCAGGGAAGCAGACUUCUUCCAGGACAAGGGGCCAUGGAGGCCUGCAGCUUCAACCAGACUGCUGGGAACCUGCCUUUGAGGAGGUGGACAUGGCAGGGAGAGCCCAGUGCUGGGUGGUUUCCAAAGUCAGUUGCUGGCCAAGGUAGUCUGGCACUGGGCCUUGCACCCAGUGCAGCAGGACAAAGGGCUGUCCAUGUAGGGACCUGCCAAAUUGACAGGAUCACUGUGACACUCACUGAGUCCCUACUCUGUGGCCGGACCCUUCUCUAAGCACCUCACAUUCAAUAUCUCCCUUGAACCUCACAAGGAGUCUAUGAAGUAGACACCAGUAUCCUUAUCCACAGAUGAGGAAACUGAGGCACAAGUAGGCUAGGCAGGUGCCCGAACUCACUAGUAAGUGUGAGAGUCUAGGUGAGAAUCUGAACAGCCUGACUCCAGGGCCAAAACCAUACCCUGGUCGUCCAUACCCCAUGUGAGAGCUGGCUCGGGGUAGCAAGUUCACAGGUAGACCCCACCUGCAACAGCUGAGCUGCUAGCGAAGACCCAGUGUCCUCUAGGCACAAAGCUGGGCCAGGAACGGGAUGGGAGGAGAUGAGGGAGCCACUGGAGAGAGAUCUGUCUGCAGGCAGGGCCCAUCUGCACCUCUCUUUUUGGUGUUGCCUUUUCCUCUGUGUCUCUCAUAGAGACAAACCCAUCUCCCAGGCCUCUGGGCAGCCACAUAGCAGGGGAAGGCCAAGGCGUGGCAGCUCCCCUGUGCCUGUCACAGAACAAGUUAUAUUAAUAGAUGUAGUCACAGGCUGGUCUGAGUCACCUUUUCAGUGAAAAUGUGCCUGUCUGGACUAGCACGGCCCUGGGCAAGACCCUGCAGGAGCCUGAGGCUGACCCUUCCUUCUCAGCAGGAGGUCUGGAGCUCCAGGACUCCACACUGAUAGCCAGGGCUCCGAUUCCCAGAACACUUAUUUUCUAAAACCUUAGAGUGGGAAGUGAGACAGAGGCUUCUCAAUGCAGCAAAAUCAGAACCAGCCCGGGAGCUGCUUACAAAUGCUGCACCUGAGACCUACCGCACCCCUGCGGGACUGCAUGCUCCUCAGGGAUGCGGUUACACAGCCUGGGCACUCGCUGGUGCACCACAGCCCCCGAGUGCUGGGGCAGAGGGAAGCCGGCAGGCACUGAGAGCUGAGAUGCCUCCCACAUUCCCAGACGACCUGCGUUCCUGUGGGUGAAGCUUCCUUCAGUGGAACGUUCCAGGAACACUCAUUGCCUGGGAAAGGUGGAGUCAUCAGUAGGGCAGGGGAGGUAGAUAGAGCUCAGCUUCUGAGUCAGGCUGGGGAGUCCCAACAGCAUCGCUUACUAGCUGUGUAAGGGAGUCCAGAUCCCUUUCUGUAAAGUGAGGCAUCAGUACUUACCUAGCACAACUGUUGAGGAAGCCAUGACAUAAGCAUUGCUUCUAAAGCACCUGGCCCAGGUCUGGCACACACAAGGGGCUUGAAGUGCUAACAGGAGUAAUAGCAGAGCGUGACUCCACAAGCAAGGGAUAUCGUGUGUGUGGACACCGAUGAGCACAACUUUAUUUGUUUUUAAACAUUCAGGGCCUAGUAGAUAGCAGGCUUUCAACAAAUAUUUUUGAAUAACAACAAACAAGAGUAUGGACUUUGGGAACAGGAGAGCCUAGUAGCCAGCGAGCCUGAGCCAAUCCUUGAUGGCCUCCAAUUCUGAGAAGACUCUCUGGGCCCCCUUAGGCUCCCUGUGGAAGAAAGCUUCCCCAGUCAAUCCUAAUAAAAAUACUUCUGAGACAGAUCUAACAGGACAAAGUGGAGUCUCUCCACUCUUUCAGUAGCUCCUUCACCCCAGGUGCUGUUUGGGGUUCUGACACUGCCAUGGCAUGGCCAGCAGGAUGGCCCCUAGGGCUCCUGGGGCUGCUCUAUAAGAGCUUCCCACCCCUGACCUGCAGUCCAUGAGGGCAAGGCCAGAUCCGGGCACAUGCCCAUCUGUGUUGUUCUCAUGCUCUCAGGGGGUAGAGCUAGUGUGUUGGACUUGGCAUGUUUAGGGUCACCUCCCUGAGGGUUGACAACCUGAGCAAAAUCAGCAUUCCCUUGGCAAGGAAUAAAGGGGGAAUGGAUUUGUGGUCAGCAACCCACAUCGUUGGUCAGCAACCCACCGCCAAGCAUUCUGCCUGCAACAGGGUGGGGCUGGCCAGGGGAGGCUCCUCAGGGAAGGUGAAAGCUGUGCAGAGUUUUGCAGGAUGACUCAGUGCUUAUCAGGUAGACAGAUAAGGAAGAACAUUCCAGGGAGAGGGAGGAAUGCUAACAACAGCAGGGGAUCUGGUCUGUACUAGACAUGCCAAAGGAAUGGUGUGUCCAUAUCAACAGAGGAGGGAGAGACAGAAGAGAAAGAGCUUGUCAGGGCCUGAGUCAGAGCGGGCUCAUGCUGUGGGGCUAAGAAGCUCAAACGAUUUCCAGAGACAGUGGGGAAGCUUUACAGGGACAGGCAGGGGAGGAUCUUAACCCGGCUUUCGUAAGCCUCUGGCUUGAGUAUGGAAGGUGAGUCUGGGACAGGGAGCCCAGCGCCGAAGUGUUGCAACAGUAUAGGGAGACAUACAGACCAAUUCCCUCCCACCUAACAGCUCUGUGCUUUGGGGUCCUGGGUUAGUUUCCUGGGAGAAGGCUGGCCUUGGCUACCUCUGUCCUUGACCAAGGACAUCGUUUUAAAUAUUUGUGAUGUGUCCUAGGCCACUGCAUCUCUGUCCCUGUAGCGAAGAGAAGAUACUGAUUCCUAAGCUCCUACUCUGAGAACACAAAUAUCUGCAAUACCUCGGUAAGCCCUAGGCCUGAGUGUGAGGUUGCAGGCACUUCCAUGGCCCCAUGCAGGUGUCCAAGUUCCCUCGUGGUAUUUGGCCAAGGGGGGCCCUGUGUG
This 4219-nucleotide long non-coding RNA is filed under the name Homo sapiens (human). RNAcentral's name for it is "HSALNT0357805". Lineage: Eukaryota; Metazoa; Chordata; Mammalia; Primates; Hominidae. The record is from RNAcentral.